GAUUUCUGGCUUGAAACAUUUAGCCGGCCACGGUUUCGUGUGUUAGUGUUAGAUGUUCUGGCCAUCCUUCCAAUUGCUAUUCAUCUUUCUUCAUUGAUGGGUGAGUGGUAUUGGAUCUUUUACUUUGAAAAAAUUAGAGUGUUUCAAGCAGGCUUAAUGCUAUGAAUACAUUAGCAUGGAAUAAUAAUUUAGGACUUCGGUUCUAUUUUGUUGGUUUCUAGGACUGAAGUAAUGAUUGAUAGGGUCAGUUGGGGGUGCUAGUAUUCAGCGGCCAGAGGUGAAAUUCUCGGAUUCGCUGAAGACUAACUUAUGCGAAAGCAUU
This 322-nucleotide ribosomal RNA is filed under the name uncultured Cercozoa. Its description in RNAcentral is "SSU rRNA". The stretch from base 112 to 322 matches the Rfam family "Eukaryotic small subunit ribosomal RNA", at positions 744 to 955 of the family's 1831-position model. Lineage: Eukaryota; Cercozoa. The record is from RNAcentral.